AGGGCACCACCAGGAGUGGAGCCUGCGGCUUAAUUUGACUCAACACGGGAAAACUCACCCGGCCCGGACACUGGAAGGAUUGACAGAUUGAGAGCUCUUUCUUGACUCAGUGGGUGGUGGUGCAUGGCCGUUCUUAGUUGGUGGAGCAAUUUGUCUGGUUAAUUCCGAUAACGAACGAGACUCUAGCCUACUAAAUAGAACAGUGGUUUACAAACAUCACUGGUCGUUAUACUUCUUAGAGGGACAGGCGGCGAUUCAGCCGCACGAAACAGAGCAAUAACAGGUCUGUGAUGCCCUUAGAUGUCCGGGGCCGCACGCGCGCUACACUGAAGUGAUCAGCGUGUAUACAUUAGCCUGCUCUGCCAGGAGUGGGUAACCCAAUAAACCUUCUUCGUGAUUGGGAUAGGGGAUUGUAAUUAUUCCCCUUGAACGAGGAAUUCCCAGUAAGCGCGAGUCAUUAGCUCGCGUUGAUUACGUCCCUGCCCUUUGUACACACCGCCCGUCGCUACUACCGAUUGA
RNAcentral lists this ribosomal RNA (519 nucleotides) under uncultured eukaryote. RNAcentral's name for it is "SSU rRNA". It matches the Rfam family "Eukaryotic small subunit ribosomal RNA", at positions 1161 to 1692 of the family's 1831-position model. The record is from RNAcentral.